Molecule: ribosomal RNA, 332 nt
Filed under: uncultured Chloroflexota bacterium
Lineage: Bacteria; Bacillati; Chloroflexota
Description: bacterial SSU rRNA
Rfam family: Bacterial small subunit ribosomal RNA
Source: RNAcentral
GAUGAACGCUGGCGGCGUGCCUAAUACAUGCAAGUCGAACGGAGAUCAGCGAUGGUCUCAGUGGCGAACGGGUGAGUAACACGUUGGUAACCUGCCCUGGAGUGAGGGAUACCAGGCCGAAAGGCUUGCUAAUACCACAUGUGCAGUCGAGGAAUAGCAGCUUGAUUGCAAAGGAAGGAGUUCGGAAGAACCCUAACGCUCUAGGAGGGGCCUGCGACCCAUCAGCUAGUUGGUAAGGUAACGGCCUACCAAGGCGAUGACGGGUAGGGGACCUGAGAGGGUGACCCCCCACAAUGGAACUGAAACACGGUCCAUACACCUACGGGUGGCAG